This 481-nucleotide ribosomal RNA is filed under the name uncultured bacterium. RNAcentral describes it as "bacterial SSU rRNA". It matches the Rfam family "Bacterial small subunit ribosomal RNA", at positions 355 to 852 of the family's 1533-position model. The record is from RNAcentral.
UGGGGAAUCUUGGACAAUGGGGGCAACCCUGAUCCAGCCAUGCCGCGUGAGUGAUGAAGGCCUUAGGGUCGUAAAGCUCUUUCGCCUGUGAAGAUAAUGACGGUAGCAGGUAAAGAAACCCCGGCUAACUCCGUGCCAGCAGCCGCGGUAAUACGGAGGGGGUUAGCGUUGUUCGGAAUUACUGGGCGUAAAGCGCACGUAGGCGGACCAGAAAGUUGGGGGUGAAAUCCCGGGGGCUCAACCCCGGAACUGCCUCCAAAACUAUUGGUCUAGAGUUCGAGAGAGGUGAGUGGAAUUCCAAGUGUAGAGGUGAAAUUCGUAGAUAUUUGGAGGAACACCAGUGGCGAAGGCGGCUCACUGGCUCGAUACUGACGCUGAGGUGCGAAAGUGUGGGGAGCAAACAGGAUUAGAUACCCUGGUAGUCCACGCCGUAAAACGAUGGGUGCUAGGUGUUGGGUAGCUUGCUAUUCGGUGACACACC